GACGAACGCUGGCGGCGUGCUUAACACAUGCAAGUCGAACGGAAAGGCCCUGCUCUUGUGGGGUGCUCGAGUGGCGAACGGGUGAGUAACACGUGAGUAACCUGCCCUUGACUUUGGGAUAACUUCAGGAAACUGGGGCUAAUACCGGAUAGGAGCUCCUGCUGCAUGGUGGGGGUUGGAAAGUUUCGGCGGUUGGGGAUGGACUCGCGGCUUAUCAGCUUGUUGGUGGGGUAGUGGCUUACCAAGGCUUUGACGGAUAGCCGGCCUGAGAGGGUGACCGGCCACAUUGGGACUGAGAUACGGCCCAGACGCGUACGGGAGGCAGCAGUGGGAAAUAUUGCACAGUGGGCGGAAGCGUGAUGCAGCAACGCCGCGUGCGGGAUGACGGCCUUCGGGUUAUAAACCGCUUUCGCCUGUGACGAAGCGUGAGUGACGGUAAUGGGUAAAGAAGCACCGGCUAACUACGUG
Molecule: ribosomal RNA, 468 nt
Filed under: uncultured bacterium
Lineage: Bacteria
Description: partial 16S ribosomal RNA
Rfam family: Bacterial small subunit ribosomal RNA
Source: RNAcentral